This 86-nucleotide transfer RNA is filed under the name Pycnococcus provasolii. Its description in RNAcentral is "tRNA-Ser". It matches the Rfam family "tRNA". From Rfam's summary of the family: Transfer RNA (tRNA) molecules are approximately 80 nucleotides in length. Their secondary structure includes four short double-helical elements and three loops (D, anti-codon, and T loops). Further hydrogen bonds mediate the characteristic L-shaped molecular structure. tRNAs have two regions of fundamental functional importance: the anti-codon, which is responsible for specific mRNA codon recognition, and the 3' end, to which the tRNAs corresponding amino acid is attached (by aminoacyl-tRNA synthetases). tRNAs cope with the degeneracy of the genetic code in two manners: having more than one tRNA (with a specific anti-codon) for a particular amino acid; and 'wobble' base-pairing, i.e. permitting non-standard base-pairing at the 3rd anti-codon position. Lineage: Eukaryota; Viridiplantae; Chlorophyta; Pseudoscourfieldiophyceae; Pseudoscourfieldiales; Pycnococcaceae. The record is from RNAcentral.
GGAGGGGUGGCUGAGUGGCUUAAAGUACCGCAUUGCUAAUGCGGCGUGCGAAUUUCGUACCGAGGGUUCGAAUCCCUCCCCUUCCG